Molecule: ribosomal RNA, 328 nt
Filed under: uncultured eukaryote
Lineage: Eukaryota
Description: LSU rRNA
Rfam family: Bacterial large subunit ribosomal RNA
Source: RNAcentral
AAGGCUUUGAAGUGAGGACGCUAGUUCUCAUGGAGCCGACGUUGAAAUACCACCCUGGUGCGUUUGAGGUUCUAACCCAGGUCCCUUAUCGGGAUCGGGGACAGUGCAUGGUAGGCAGUUUGACUGGGGCGGUCUCCUCCCAAAGCGUAACGGAGGAGUUCGAAGGUACGCUAGUUACGGUCGGACAUCGUGACGAUAGUGCAAUGGCAUAAGCGUGCUUAACUGCGAGACUGACAAGUCGAGCAGAUGCGAAAGCAGGACAUAGUGAUCCGGUGGUUCUGUAUGGAAGGGCCAUCGCUCAACGGAUAAAAGGUACUCUAGGGAUAAC